UACGGAGGGAGCUAGCGUUGUUCGGAAUUACUGGGCGUAAAGCGCGCGUAGGCGGCUAUUCAAGUCAGAGGUGAAAGCCCGGGGCUCAACCCCGGAACUGCCUUUGAAACUAGGUAGCUAGAAUCUUGGAGAGGUCAGUGGAAUUCCGAGUGUAGAGGUGAAAUUCGUAGAUAUUCGGAAGAACACCAGUGGCGAAGGCGACUGACUGGACAAGUAUUGACGCUGAGGUGCGAAAGCGUGGGGAGCAAACAGGAUUAGAUACC
RNAcentral lists this ribosomal RNA (263 nucleotides) under uncultured bacterium. RNAcentral describes it as "partial 16S ribosomal RNA". It matches the Rfam family "Bacterial small subunit ribosomal RNA", at positions 524 to 786 of the family's 1533-position model. The record is from RNAcentral.